AUGGUGCAGUAUAAUUUCAAGAAAAUCACUGUUGUCCCUCCCGGGAAGGACUUCAUUGACAUAAUCUUGUCCCGCACUCAGAGGCAAACGCCAACUGUCGUCCACAAGGGCUAUGCUAUCAACCGCAUCCGCCAGUUCUAUAUGCGCAAGGUUCGCUAUACUCAGCAGAACUUCUAUGAGAAGCUCUCCACCAUCAUCGAUGAGUUCCCCCGACUGGAUGACAUCCACCCUUUCUACGGCGAUCUCCUUCAUGUGCUCUACAACAAGGAUCACUAUAAACUUGCCUUGGGCCAGAUCAAUACGGCCAGAAAUAUCAUUGCAAAGAUCUCCAAGGACUAUUUGAGGCUGCUCAAGUAUGGAGACACGCUGUACCGGUGCAAGUGCCUGAAGGUUGCUGCACUAGGUCGCAUGUGUACUGUUCUAAAGCGCAUCAGUCCUAGUUUGGCAUACCUGGAGCAGAUCAGGCAGCACAUGGCCAGGCUUCAAUCAAUUGACCCAAACACCCGUACGAUCUUGAUUUGUGGCUAUCCAAAUGUUGGGAAGAGCUCUUUUAUGAACAAGGUUACAAGGGCUGAUGUGGACGUACAGCCUUAUGCCUUCACAACAAAAUCCCUUUCUGUUGCUCAUGCAGAUUACAAGCAUCUGCGAUACCAAGUGAUUGACACUCCAGGGAUCCUUGAUCGGCCUUUUGAGGACAGGAACAUCAUAGAAAUGUGCAGUAUCACCGCUCUUGCCCACUUGAGGGCUGCUGUGCUGUUCUUCUUGGACAUCUCUGGUUCUUGUGGGUACACUAUUGCUCAGCAAGCUGCACUCUUCCACAGUAUAAAAUCCUUGUUCAUGAAUAAGCCUCUGGUCAUUGUGUGCAACAAGACUGAUUUGCAGCCGCUUGACGGUCUUUCUGAAGAGGACAUGAAGCUGGUAAUGGAGAUGAAGUCAGAGGCUAUGAAGACUAUACCUCAAGGUGGAGAUCCUAGUGAAGAGGGUGUUUUGUUGACUAUGAGUGCUUUAACAGAUGAGGGUGUGAUGGCUGUUAAAAAUGCUGCAUGUGAGAGGCUUCUUGAGCAGAGGGUGGAGAUCAAGAUGAAAUCAAAGAAGAUCAAUGACUGCUUAAAUAGGUUUCAUGUUGCUAUGCCCAAGCCUCGUGACAGAAGAGACAGGCCUACUUGCAUUCCUCAGGCUGUUCUUGAAGCUCAAGCAAUUGCUGCUGCAAAGGAAAAGAAGAAACUCGAGAGGGACCUCGAGAAUGAGAAUGGAGGCGCUGGUGUCUAUUCUGCCAGUCUCAAGAAGCAUUACUUAUUAGCCAAUGAUGAGUGGAAGGAAGAUAUUCUCCCUGAGAUAUUGGAUGGGCAUAAUGUUGCUGAUUUCCUAGAUCCGGAUAUCUUGGAAAGGUGUGAAGAACUGGAAAGGGAGGAGGGUCUUCGUCUUGAAGAAGAAGCUGCUCAGGAUGCUUUCAUGAUUGAUGGCCAUGAUGAAUUAACUGAAGAACAGCGUGAGAUAUUGGGCAAGAUUAGGAAGAAGAAGGCAAUGCUCAUCCAAGAGCAUAGGAUGAAGAAGAGUACUGCUGAGAGCCGGCCUAUUGUUCCAAGGAAGCAUGACAAAGAUAGUAAAUUCACAACCAAGAGAUUGGGCAGACAACUCACAUCCAUGGGUGUUGAUCCUACUGUGGCUGUGAACCGACUUCGCAGCCAGUCAAGAGGCCGUAAGCGUGAGAGGUCACUGAGCAGAGCUGAUGGUGACGCUAUGGACGUUGAUGGCCAGCAUUCCGACAAGAAACUGCGUACAAGGUCGAGGUCUAGGUCCAAGUCACGACCAAUUGAAGAGGUUGUGCCAGGUGAAGGGCUCAGGGACACUGCUCAAAAGAAGAAGGCCAUCAAGAAAUCAAGGGACUCUGUGAAGAACAGGAAUAAGGAGGCUCGACGUGGAGAGGCGGACCGUGUCAUCCCCACCUUGAAACCAAAGCAUCUCUUCUCUGGGAAACGAGGCAUUGGAAAGACCAGCAGGCGAUAA
RNAcentral lists this ribosomal RNA (2007 nucleotides) under Triticum aestivum (bread wheat). RNAcentral's name for it is "partial small subunit ribosomal RNA". The record is from RNAcentral. Lineage: Eukaryota; Viridiplantae; Streptophyta; Magnoliopsida; Poales; Poaceae.